UGGGGAAUAUUGCACAAUGGGCGAAAGCCUGAUGCAGCGACGCCGCGUGAGGGAUGACGGCCUUCGGGUUGUAAACCUCUUUCAGUAGGGACGAAGCGCAAGUGACGGUACCUGCAUAAGAAGCACCGGCUAACUACGUGCCAGCAGCCGCGGUAAUACGUAGGGUGCGAGCGUUGUCCGGAAUUACUGGGCGUAAAGAGCUCGUAGGCGGUUUGUCACGUCGGCUGUGAAAUCCUAGGGCUUAACCCUGGACGUGCAGGCGAUACGGGCUGACUUGAGUACUACAGGGGAGACUGGAAUUUCUGGUGUAGCGGUGGAAUGCACAGAUAUCAGGAAGAACACCGAUGGCGAAGGCAGGUCUCUGGGUAGUAACUGACGCUGAGGAGCGAAAGCAUGGGUAGCGAACAGG
RNAcentral lists this ribosomal RNA (409 nucleotides) under bacterium. RNAcentral's name for it is "partial 16S ribosomal RNA". It matches the Rfam family "Bacterial small subunit ribosomal RNA", at positions 355 to 776 of the family's 1533-position model. The record is from RNAcentral.